UAGGGAAUCUUCGGCAAUGGGGGCAACCCUGACCGAGCAACGCCGCGUGAGUGAAGAAGGUUUUCGGAUCGUAAAGCUCUGUUGUAAGAGAAGAACGUGUGUGAGAGUGGAAAGUUCACACAGUGACGGUAACUUACCAGAAAGGGACGGCUAACUACGUGCCAGCAGCCGCGGUAAUACGUAGGUCCCGAGCGUUGUCCGGAUUUAUUGGGCGUAAAGCGAGCGCAGGCGGUUUAAUAAGUCUGAAGUUAAAGGCAGUGGCUUAACCAUUGUUCGCUUUGGAAACUGUUAAACUUGAGUGCAGAAGGGGAGAGUGGAAUUCCCUGUGUAGCGGUGAAAUGCGUCGAUAUAUGGAAGAACACCGAUGGCGAAAGCGGCUCUCUGGUCUGUAACUGACGCUGAGGCUCGAAAGCGUGGGGAGCAAACAGG
Molecule: ribosomal RNA, 429 nt
Filed under: bacterium
Lineage: Bacteria
Description: partial 16S ribosomal RNA
Rfam family: Bacterial small subunit ribosomal RNA
Source: RNAcentral